GCCACCUUAGCUCAGCUGGUAGAGCAGCCGAUUCGUAAUCGGCAGGUCGGCGGUUCGACUCCGCCAGGUGGCUC
This 74-nucleotide transfer RNA is filed under the name subsurface metagenome. Its description in RNAcentral is "tRNA-Thr". It matches the Rfam family "tRNA". From Rfam's summary of the family: Transfer RNA (tRNA) molecules are approximately 80 nucleotides in length. Their secondary structure includes four short double-helical elements and three loops (D, anti-codon, and T loops). Further hydrogen bonds mediate the characteristic L-shaped molecular structure. tRNAs have two regions of fundamental functional importance: the anti-codon, which is responsible for specific mRNA codon recognition, and the 3' end, to which the tRNAs corresponding amino acid is attached (by aminoacyl-tRNA synthetases). tRNAs cope with the degeneracy of the genetic code in two manners: having more than one tRNA (with a specific anti-codon) for a particular amino acid; and 'wobble' base-pairing, i.e. permitting non-standard base-pairing at the 3rd anti-codon position. The record is from RNAcentral.